This 3029-nucleotide long non-coding RNA is filed under the name Gallus gallus (chicken). Its description in RNAcentral is "lncRNA (ENSGALG00010013948.1)". Lineage: Eukaryota; Metazoa; Chordata; Aves; Galliformes; Phasianidae. The record is from RNAcentral.
UAAAAAAAGAAAAAAAAAAAGAAAAAAAAAGCACAGCACUGAAAAAAAAUAAAAUAAUUUAUUUGUUUUUACAACUAGUAUGUGAAUGGAUGUAAUGAAUUUAUUUAUUCUUAUUUAACAAAAAUAUCAAUUGUGCAAAUUCUAUAUUUAAAAUGUUAGCUAUCAUCUCUGUCUCUCUUUCUUGCUCUCUUUUAAUUUAUGCUUCAAAUCUGUGUUGAAAGUGAGUUUACAUAAUGUUUGGCACUGGUCAUUUUUUGUUUGUUUUUAUUUAGAAAGCUUUCCGCAUGGAACAGGAGUAUAUGUGUAUACACGUGUGCACACUGUAUAGAUGUAUAUUCCUUUUCUUCUGCCAUCUUUCUUAGAGAAGUUCAUGACGCCUGAUGCUCAAAGCUCCUCGUUACACUUCAGUUCUAAAAUAUCUCAGUCAUAGAGGCCUGUGGACAAAAAAAAAGCACCCAGGUUCUAAACAACAAACUCGCUUCAUAAAGGCGUGUGCAAUCUGUGCUCUGCUCCUUAGUAGUUUACCACUCAGGUUGGUUAAGUCUUACCAUUUGCGCCAAUGGGAGCAAGCUCAGGCUUGCAGUAAAUGGGAGUCCUCUCUAUGUGAAUGAAGUUUCUCUGAGUUGUCAGGGUGGCAAGUGAGUAUUCUCUCAUGCAGCUUCUCAUAUUUAAGUGAAAUCACUACAGAGAAAUUGUUUUGUGUGCCUCUCUGCAAUUACAGAUUAAAUGAUGUACGAUUUGGUUUAUGAAAAGUGAACCAUUAUAAAAGCUACCUUUUCAAUCUUUUCACCGUUUAUAUACUUAUAUAUCUAUUUAUUAUAGCUAUAAAAUGUCAAAAGCACAAUUUGUAAGGCUUUGCAAUGUUUUUCUUUGUUUUACUCUAGCUCUUUGCACCAUGUCAGGCAGUGAGACACAAAUAAAAAGCCAGCCAAGCAUGCAUUCCCAGUAUUUCCAUGAAAAUAACAGUAUCUGAUUACUUCCAGUUUUUGUCUAGUCCAAAUUCUGCUUAGCUUCAGGGAAACUGUACUGGGCUGUGAGGUAAAAAAAAAAAAUGUAUAGUAUAGAUAAACCCGUACUGUCAAUUAACUUAACAAUACAAAUUAUUUUUCUAACCACUUCACUGUAAGGGUAGCACUACAGAUGGCAAAGAAUCUAUUUCAAACUAUGGAAAGAUAUCUCCCUCAUCAGUGCCCAUAUUCACACAAGUUACAUUCCAUAUCAUCCUCUGUACCCAGUGUUUGCCACUGUCCAGGCCCUGUGGUACACCCAGAGCCAACCACAAGGCUUCAGAUGAAGUUACAAAGACCAGUGGGUGAUGCUUCCUCCAUUAAAGCCCACUCCAAAACACCAGGAAAUGACAAUAAGCCUUCACUCUGAUGAUCUUUGGGGCGGGCUUUAAAGAAGCCUUGUACAGUUGAAACAUUAAUAAUUGUGGGUUUUCAGCAAAAUGUUUAGGUAGGUGACUGUUUCCCCUUGUGUUCACGAAUGCUGUGCUGCUCUUUGUCACUGAGGAAGACAGAGCCCAUAGCAAGAAGCAAAGUUAGAUUCUUCAAGCCAUUACUGAUUUUGAGGCCUUUGUUCCUUUUUUUAAUUAAGUGCUUCGUUUUUAUAAAGUUGCACCCAUACUUGUCACUGGUAACAUUUUCAAUAGUCAUUUAUUUUACUGUGGGUACAUGGAAUGCUAGUUUGUAUAGUAAAGCUAAUUCAACAUUCUUGUUUGAAAUGGCAUUGCCAAUGCAAAUAUUUCUGGUUUAUUGCACAUACUGUUAAUGACUUAAGCUGAGACAAAUUUUCAGGUUCUCAACUGGCAUUGCAUGGUGUAGCUCUGGGGUUUACAAGAUUGUAUUACAAGUGGCAAUAUUCAGUGAUAUGGCAUACAACAUCCUAAAAGCCCCAAACACAUUGUUAAUGCAGGUGAGUGGCUGGAGAACUUCUCUCCAGAUACCCUGUACAGAUUUUAAAGAUUGAAACCAAAACUCUCAGGGUUGUUUGCCCUGAGAUUUGUCUGUAGAGUCUCACAGUAACUGUAAGGAUAUUUCAAGUAUUUCCACAUGUAUUGGCUAGAAUCUUGCAUAGUCUGUGUUGAAACAUAUAGGUGUACACAUAGAACUUAACCGUGCCUACAUGGAAAUGUGUAACUUUUUUUUUGUGUUUGUGUAUACAUGUGUAUGUAUAACCGUAUCCACAUUUGUAUGCACACAAAAUAAGUAUUUGGGUCUCCAUUAAUCCUGUUUACGGGGCAGAAUAGUUACACUGGUUUCAGCUAUACCUAGGUAAAUUCAGAGUAACUUCAUUACACCGCUUGCCUUUGCAGGAGCUGCUUCAGACUCAUACCACUUUAAGUAACAGCAUCAUUUCUCUUUUAAAUGUAUAGGAACUGGUUUACACAAUUUAUUGUAUGAACUGUGAAAUUUUCAGAUAGUUUUAUCAUAUGAAAUGUACUCCUCGACAGUCAAGCGUAUAUGCAUUGAUAAAAUCUCAUGAGAUAAGGGAAAUAAUAUACUCCAAAUAAGUUGGUGACAAUGUGUUCCCCUGUGUAGCAAUAAUUAAAUUUCACUUCUAUUGUCAGGUCAUUGUGUAACAUCAGAUAAUAUAAAACAAGAGAGGUGUUCUGGGGAAGAUGAACAGGAUAGCGCAGCUUUCAUUUUUUCUUAAUUUAUUUCAUGUGCCUCUUUGUAGACUCCAUUGAUGUCACUUCGUGCAUUACAGAUAACUUGACUGAAAUACCAGCACUCUAUGAAAACCAAGAUGUGUCACAAGACUUAUUUUUCAUUUUUCCAUAUGUCUAAUCAAAGAGAAUUAACAGUUUUAGAGCACUACUAUGUCAGCCAGUUUACACCAUAAAUAAUGUUAUGCGAAACAUUAAUUCAUUUGAACUGAAUUGUACAAGGUCUACACUGUACUAUGACACGUUGAAGGCCAAUAUUUUGUUUUGUAAACUAUUACAUAUGUAUAAUUUACCAGCUGUAAUCUUAAAACAUUUGAUUCUGUGAUUUCAGUUAAAAGAAGUAAUAAACUGUAUCAUAGGU